This is a long non-coding RNA of Protopterus annectens (West African lungfish), 3115 nucleotides long. RefSeq lists it as uncharacterized. The record is from RefSeq and is a predicted model, not a curated record. NCBI's taxonomy places the organism in Eukaryota, Metazoa, Chordata, Ceratodontiformes, Protopteridae. The transcript is spliced from 3 exons.
GCUACAGGAAAGCAAUGGAACUUCUCCUCGGAUGUGCUGUACAGUGUGGGCAGCAAAAAUUGUUAACGAAAAAUGUUUCUACAGGGAGAUACAAGAAGCAAACAGGCAUCAGUGGUUGAUACUAUUAUCAGUAGAAUAACAGAGUCCUUAUUUCACCACUUAAGCAAACAUUUCAAGGAAACAGAUUCAACAUCAUAUAUUUAGUAUAAGAUUAAAGCUUGGAAAAUCAAGGAAGAAGAAACUGUUAGUGAUGGGUGAAAACAAAAACAUAGCAGAAUUAUGGAGGAAUAUUUUUACAUAGAUCUGUAGGAAGAGAUCUACUUCGUAUAAUCAAAUUUUCACUUACCAGAAACUUAAAACGAUGAGAUAAUGUUGCUGAAAACUUACUUUCAUGAACACUCGUAUAACUGCAAUUUUACUAUGGAAAAGGAACUACUUGGCCACCACAACAAAAUAACAAACCAAAGCAAAUCAAACACACCCAAGUGGGCGGGUUCGCCUCCCACACACUCCCAUGUUCUGAUUUUAAUUGAUUGAAGAUCGAAAACCCUUAAUCUGAUUUACCGGGUUUAGUCUCCUGUAUCAUCCGUUUAGUAAGACGUGUUUCUUGGAUGAUUCUGAUGUAACAUUUAAGAAUAAAAAAACAAUAAAUAAAAUCUGUGUAAAAAUCCUAAACGUUUAGUCAGCUAAAAGUACUGGAACUCCCUGUAUCAGGCUCUAAAAAGACUAUUCUAAAGAGAAGAAAUUUACAUGAUUUCCCAAAGUAACUCUUGGAUUCAUUCAUGCAAAUCACCGAUAGCAGGUGAUUCCAUGGAAAUGUGGAAAGAUAAGCAAAAUAUGAUCUGGCUGGACCAUGACGUAACCAUUACCCCCUCUCUUGAAAACUUGAGAUGCCUACCUGGAACAUAGGGUUUCAGCAACUCCUUACGAUAACAGCAAGAUCCAGACUGUGAAAAGCAUGAUAGAACUCUCAUACUGUAAGCAUGGACCAAGGAAAAGGACGUUCAGAGAGUGCCACCACUGCAAGAAGAAAGUGAUACACAUGCCAAGGCAUUUGAGGGAUGUAUAAUAAAUGUCACAAGAAACAGCACAUUCUCUGUUAUAGCAGCAGUACCUCACAGAUGACUAAGAGAUGGGGAAACAUAAAACAUGCAGGUAUUUGCACUACAGUGUAGUUAUUAAAGACUUCAGCUAACAUUUUUGUAAAGCGCACUGAUGCACCCUCGCCAUCAUCAAGUAGAGAUUUAUAGAAAACAAAUGUGCAAGCCCCUCCCAGACACAGUGCAAUGUAUUUUGAUGUGUCAGUUGAGUCAUCAGACUCCUAUUAUAUAGAUGAAGACCUUUUUCACAGACAUGAAAACUGGUCAGAGACUUUAGAAGGUGGAAAAAAGGACUAAGGUAUUGCAGCUGUUCACAGGACAACAGUUACUUUUCUUGUGGAAGUAAAUCUCCACAAACUUAUCACUUGCAGCCCUUUUAAGUUUGAGGCACAGAUAGAGCCUCUAGGCAUAAGCCUGGGAUUAUGAUUUGCUACAUUCAUUCUCAUGAAAUUUGUGAAGUUUAUUGAUUUUGGACACUUUGCCCCUGAUUGUCAGUGUGAGACUGAUACCCUCAUUAAUGUUAUACCACUCUGGAAAGCAUUAUUGAAAACAUCAAUAAAGGUAUGUAGAUAUGAGGGGGGUCUAUAUUAGAAGACCGAAUGUUUAGGUAAUAGAACACCUAAACAUCGAUCUUCUAAUAUCGAACCUAAGAAUAUCGGACCCACCAGGGAAACAAGCACAUCGGCCAGUAAAAAAAAAAAAUUUUUACAUCCAAACUAAGUGGGGGGCUUCACCCCCCCCCCCAACUAAAUAUACCAACUCCAAGAUUGUUCAACAGUACUGAAAUGGCAAAAUCUGGCAAAUGGCCAAGGGGAAUCUUUCCUUGCAUUAAAUCGUCCAUUGGACGUCUUUUGCUUUUGAUUAGAAGAUCAGUGUUUAGGUGUUCGAUCACCUAAACAUUUGAUCUUCUACUAUAGACCCGACAUGAGGUAUAGAUAAGAGGCUCAGCAAAAUGCAUAAGCCCUAAAGCACCAUCACUUUAGAAAGCUAUCACCCUUGCCAUGAAGGCAGAAAAGAUAAUCCAUGAACUGCCCACAGCAACAAAACUACGAGACCAGGGGGACAUUAUGACAAGAAACCAUCUCAUAUUGCUGCUAUCAUUCAAAAAUGCACAGAGAUCCAGUGCCCUGUAUAACAUGGCUAUAGGAAACCUACAUUGUGCUGAACUGAUCCAUAUAUAUGAUGUGGACAGUUAUGUCAUUACUGUGAUGUUGCACAACAUGUCUGCCAUCCAUAGUGCAGCUUGUCUAGUAGUGGACAGCACAUUUCAUAAUAUGCUCAUCAACUAAGCCCAGCACACUAGGUGCCUACUGCCAGAAAUGAAACCAUGCCACUAUGAGAGCUCAAUACUGUACUUAUCAAGACUGUUGUAUACAAGAUCUCUCCCUCUGCCAUGUCUAAAGCAACAAAGAAGCAAGCAGCCAAAGCUGGUAUAAUAGAUUUCUUGUUGACGCUGUGGUGAAAAUCCACAGUAGCAAAUGUAACAUCACCCAUUACAUUCUCUUUGGUUCUUUGCUUUGAGGAGGUGCCCCUUAGUAUUCUUUAGAUAUCUUAAUUUGGUUUUACUUUUCCCUAUUGAAGUUUUAUAGGCAGCACCCAGUGAAGAGACUUCAGCUCACUUCCUACAUGGGCCACAGAAGGACAACUGUUGAAACAUAUUACUGUCUGAUACAGAACAAAGAGGAGAGCAUCAGAGCAAGCCAACAAAUGCAGUGCAUGACCAGCCAGGAACACAGUGCUGUAUGCACCCCGUCACAGCCAGGGGAGUGUGAUAAGGAAAAGGCAGCAUUGUUGGGAGACAGCCACUUCAAUACCCUCAAGGAAAAAUAUUAAAGGGUAUUAGCAAGCAUCUACCAAGAAUGCUGACAUAGGACCCAUCCCACAAAAGCACACAUGAUUUAGAAUGCUGCACUACAGAAAUCUAUGCCAAGGACUAGUAUAAAUGCAGAGGAGUGUAGCUUCUCUAUUGUUUGCAGCAUGAUUAAUAAAGUUCACUUAUCACAUCACCUGUAUGA